CUACGGGUGGCUCCAGUGGGGAAUAUUGCACAAUGGGGGAAACCCUGAUGCAGCAACGCCGCGUGGAGGAUGACACUUUUCGGAGCGUAAACUCCUUUUAUAUACCAAGAUAAUGACGGUAGUAUAUGAAUAAGCACCGGCUAACUCCGUGCCAGCAGCCGCGGUAAUACGGGGGGUGCAAGCGUUACUCGGAAUCACUGGGCGUAAAGGAUGCGUAGGCGGCCUAGCAAGUCAGGUGUGAAAUCCUAUGGCUUAACCAUAGAACUGCACUUGAAACUGCUAGACUAGAGUUCAGAAGGGGCAGGUGGAAUUAGUGGUGUAGGGGUAAAAUCCGUAGAGAUCACUAGGAAUACCUAAAGCGAAGGCGAUCUCCUGGAACAUUACUGACGCUAAGGCGUGAAAGCGUGGGGAGCAAACAGGAUUAGAUACCCGCGUAGUC
This 439-nucleotide ribosomal RNA is filed under the name uncultured bacterium. Its description in RNAcentral is "partial 16S ribosomal RNA". It matches the Rfam family "Bacterial small subunit ribosomal RNA", at positions 339 to 795 of the family's 1533-position model. The record is from RNAcentral.